UAUAAUUUUUGACUCUUCGUCUUAAUCAAAUUUUUUUUGUGAUUGUUAUUUUUAUUUUUUUAGAUGAUAAAUCAUGAAUAAUACUUUACGUGUGACUAAUUUUUUUCUAAUUUUCUGAAAAUUUUUUAAAUAAGACGAAUGGUUAAACGUUGGGCACUUAAACC
RNAcentral lists this microRNA precursor (164 nucleotides) under Oryza brachyantha (malo sina). RNAcentral's name for it is "MIR812 microRNA precursor family". It matches the Rfam family "MIR812 microRNA precursor family", at positions 27 to 189 of the family's 205-position model. The record is from Rfam by way of RNAcentral. Lineage: Eukaryota; Viridiplantae; Streptophyta; Magnoliopsida; Poales; Poaceae.